RNAcentral lists this ribosomal RNA (510 nucleotides) under uncultured bacterium. RNAcentral describes it as "partial 16S ribosomal RNA". It matches the Rfam family "Bacterial small subunit ribosomal RNA", at positions 28 to 507 of the family's 1533-position model. The record is from RNAcentral.
GACGAACGCUGGCGGCGUGCUUAACACAUGCAAGUCGAACGAAGAGCGAUGGAAGCUUGCUUCUAUCAAUCUUAGUGGCGAACGGGUGAGUAACGCGUAAUCAACCUGCCCUUCAGAGGGGGACAACAGUUGGAAACGACUGCUAAUACCGCAUACGAUCUAAACUCGGCAUCGAGGAUAGAUGAAAGGUGGCCUCUACAUGUAAGCUAUCACUGAAGGAGGGGAUUGCGUCUGAUUAGCUAGUUGGAGGGGUAACGGCCCACCAAGGCGAUGAUCAGUAGCCGGUCUGAGAGGAUGAACGGCCACAUUGGGACUGAGACACGGCCCAGACUCCUACGGGAGGCAGCAGUGGGGAAUCUUCCGCAAUGGACGAAAGUCUGACGGAGCAACGCCGCGUGAGUGAUGACGGCCUCCGGGUUGUAAAGCUCUGUUAAUCGGGACGAAAGGCCUUCUUGCGAAUAGUGAGAAGGAUUGACGGUACCGGAAUAGAAAGCCACGGCUAACUACGUG